This 133-nucleotide microRNA precursor is filed under the name Chlorocebus sabaeus (green monkey). RNAcentral describes it as "miRNA (ENSCSAG00000027407.1)". The record is from RNAcentral. Lineage: Eukaryota; Metazoa; Chordata; Mammalia; Primates; Cercopithecidae.
GUUAAGCUUGAAUUUCAGAUAAACAACAAAUAAUUUUUAAAGUUAAUUACAUCCUGUAUAAAAUUUGAGACAUACUUAUACUAAAAAGUUAUUUGUUGUUUAUCUUAAAUUCAAAUGUAACUGGGCAUCCUGU